This 663-nucleotide ribosomal RNA is filed under the name Klebsiella sp. Its description in RNAcentral is "bacterial SSU rRNA". It matches the Rfam family "Bacterial small subunit ribosomal RNA", at positions 91 to 749 of the family's 1533-position model. Lineage: Bacteria; Pseudomonadati; Pseudomonadota; Gammaproteobacteria; Enterobacterales; Enterobacteriaceae. The record is from RNAcentral.
ACGAGUGGCGGACGGGUGAGUAAUGUCUGGGAAACUGCCUGAUGGAGGGGGAUAACUACUGGAAACGGUAGCUAAUACCGCAUAACGUCGCAAGACCAAAGAGGGGGACCUUCGGGCCUCUUGCCAUCAGAUGUGCCCAGAUGGGAUUAGCUAGUAGGUGGGGUAACGGCUCACCUAGGCGACGAUCCCUAGCUGGUCUGAGAGGAUGACCAGCCACACUGGAACUGAGACACGGUCCAGACUCCUACGGGAGGCAGCAGUGGGGAAUAUUGCACAAUGGGCGCAAGCCUGAUGCAGCCAUGCCGCGUGUAUGAAGAAGGCCUUCGGGUUGUAAAGUACUUUCAGCGGGGAGGAAGGGCGCUAAGGUUAAUAACCUUGUCGAUUGACGUUACCCGCAGAAGAAGCACCGGCUAACUCCGUGCCAGCAGCCGCGGUAAUACGGAGGGUGCAAGCGUUAAUCGGAAUUACUGGGCGUAAAGCGCACGCAGGCGGUCUGUCAAGUCGGAUGUGAAAUCCCCGGGCUCAACCUGGGAACUGCAUUCGAAACUGGCAGGCUGGAGUCUUGUAGAGGGGGGUAGAAUUCCAGGUGUAGCGGUGAAAUGCGUAGAGAUCUGGAGGAAUACCGGUGGCGAAGGCGGCCCCCUGGACAAAGACUGACGCUCA